Molecule: ribosomal RNA, 520 nt
Filed under: uncultured Diversispora
Lineage: Eukaryota; Fungi; Glomeromycota; Glomeromycetes; Diversisporales; Diversisporaceae
Description: SSU rRNA
Rfam family: Eukaryotic small subunit ribosomal RNA
Source: RNAcentral
AGCAGCCGCGGUAAUUCCAGCUCCAAUAGCGUAUAUUAAAGUUGUUGCAGUUAAAAAGCUCGUAGUUGAACUUCGGGGUUUACCCAUUGGUCAGGCUUAAUUGUCUGUACUGGUGAGAUAAAUCUCUACCUUCUGAGGAACUUUCAUGUCAUUAAUUUGGUGUGAUUGGAAAUCAGGACUGUUACUUUGAAAAAAUUAGAGUGUUUAAAGCAGGCUAACGUCUGAAUACAUUAGCAUGGAAUAAUGAAAUAGGACGGACUGAUUCUAUUUCGUUGGUUUCUAGGAUCACCGUAAUGAUUAAUAGGGAUAGUUGGGGGCAUUAGUAUUCAAUUGUCAGAGGUGAAAUUCUUGGAUUUAUUGAAGACUAACUACUGCGAAAGCAUUUGCCAAGGAUGUUUUCAUUAAUCAAGAACGAAAGUUAGGGGAUCGAAGACGAUCAGAUACCGUCGUAGUCUUAACCAUAAACUAUGCCGACUAGGGAUCGGACGAAGUUAAUUUAUAAUGACGCAUUCGGCACCUU